Molecule: non-coding RNA, 73 nt
Organism: Phrynosoma platyrhinos (Desert horned lizard)
Lineage: Eukaryota; Metazoa; Chordata; Lepidosauria; Squamata; Phrynosomatidae
Source: the annotation of a GenBank genome assembly
GCCAGUGUGGCAUAGAGGUUUUGAGCAUUGGACUAUAACUUUGGAGACUAGGGUUUGAAUCCCUGCUUGGCCA